AUGAACGCUGGCGGCAGUCCUAACACAUGCAAGUCGAACGGGUAUCUUCGGAUACUAGUGGCGGACGGGUGAGUAACGCGUGGGAACGUACCUUUUGCUUCGGAAUAGCCUCGGGAAACUGGGAGUAAUACCGGAUGAGCCCUACGGGGGAAAGAUUUAUCGGCAAAAGAUCGGCCCGCGUUGGAUUAGGUAGUUGGUGGGGUAAUGGCCUACCAAGCCGACGAUCCAUAGCUGGUUUGAGAGGAUGAUCAGCCACACUGGGACUGAGACACGGCCCAGACUCCUACGGGAGGCAGCAGUGGGGAAUCUUAGACAAUGGGCGCAAGCCUGAUCUAGCCAUGCCGCGUGAUCGAUGAAGGCCUUAGGGUUGUAAAGAUCUUUCGUGGGGGAAGAUAAUGACGGUACCCCAAGAAGAAGCCCCGGCUAACUCCGU
This 433-nucleotide ribosomal RNA is filed under the name uncultured bacterium. RNAcentral's name for it is "bacterial SSU rRNA". It matches the Rfam family "Bacterial small subunit ribosomal RNA", at positions 29 to 506 of the family's 1533-position model. The record is from RNAcentral.